GUUCAAGUGGUUGAGUUUUUGUGUGUUUCAUUGAGUUUGGUUGGGUACGAUAGAGGAGAAACAGAGCUUCUCUCCUACCUCACUAGUCGCGCGAGUCUUACGAGAAGACUACCACUAGUUCUGCGCUGCAGAGAGCGUUGCUAACUCCUUGCGAAGUUACCCACUCCAGCUCGAGCCGAAACUCUCGCUCGUUGUCACUCGACUAUCGUCGAUGUCAACAGGUAAUGAUCCUUCCGCAGGUUCACCUACGGAAA
Molecule: unclassified non-coding RNA, 254 nt
Filed under: uncultured fungus
Lineage: Eukaryota; Fungi
Description: sequence contains ITS1
Source: RNAcentral